GAUGAACGCUGGCGGCGUGCCUAAUACAUGCAAGUCGAGCGAACGGACGAGAAGCUUGCUUCUCUGAUGUUAGCGGCGGACGGGUGAGUAACACGUGGAUAACCUACCUAUAAGACUGGGAUAACUUCGGGAAACCGGAGCUAAUACCGGAUAAUAUUUUGAACCGCAUGGUUCAAAAGUGAAAGACGGUCUUGCUGUCACUUAUAGAUGGAUCCGCGCUGCAUUAGCUAGUUGGUAAGGUAACGGCUUACCAAGGCAACGAUGCAUAGCCGACCUGAGAGAGUGAUCGGCAACACUGAAACUGAGACAGGGGCCAGACUCCUACGGGGAGCAGCAGUAGGGAAUCUUCCGCAAUGGGCGAAAGCCUGACGGAGCAACGCCGCGUGAGUGAUGAAGGUCUUCGGAUCGUAAAACUCUGUUAUUAGGGAAGAACAUAUGUGUAAGUAACUGUGCACAUCUUGACGGUACCUAAUCAGAAAGCCACGGCUAACUACGUG
This 497-nucleotide ribosomal RNA is filed under the name uncultured bacterium. RNAcentral's name for it is "partial 16S ribosomal RNA". It matches the Rfam family "Bacterial small subunit ribosomal RNA", at positions 28 to 507 of the family's 1533-position model. The record is from RNAcentral.